UGUGUUCUAACAAGCGGUCAUGAAGUUAUGUUAUUUUUGCUCUGCUGGAUUUAUUUUUGGCGUUUCAUGCCUUGAAGGGUUUUCUAUGAAGCUUUUCAAGGUAAACUAAAAUAUUUACAAUUAAUUAGUAUGUCACAUAUGCACUUAUUAAAUAAGCCAAUAUUGACUGUAAGCAAGUGCGAGAACGGGUUGGUACACUAUGGCAUUUGUGUAUCAGUUUUUUCGCCGCAUGUCCUUACUAGGAUUUCGCACCAGAGUCGUACCACAUUUUGGUAACCGAUCAUUCGUACGAGAAUUUGGCGCCAAAUGUUCGCAGUAGAUUUUGACGUGUAACACAAUAGACUUCGUGAAAUAUUUUGGCGCCAGCCUCAGUGUGUUCUGGAACACAACCGCUUGAAUUUUAAACUCUUAACACGUGCAGGUAAAGGACCUUGGACAAGCCGCCGGCUUCCUGUCAUCUUCGAGGCCGCCACUAGUGUUGGUGGUUCUCAGGUAAUUUUUUUGAUACCAGCUUACAUAUAUGACUUGGCAGAGCGACUCUGAAAAUAACAUAAUGUCUUUAGUAUUCCUUAAGGUGACGCCUGCCUCUAGUGCCUCUCAUGUACACUAAGGUGACGCCUGCCUCUAGUGCCUCUCAUGUACACUAAGGUGACGCCUGCCUCUAGUGCCUCUCAUGUACACUAAGGUGACGCCUGCCUCUAGUGCCUCUCAUGUACACUAAGGUGACGCCUGCCUCUAGUGCCUCUCAUGUACACUAAGGUGACGCCUGCCUCUAGUGCCUCUCAUGUACACUAAGGUGACGCCUGCCUCUAGUGCCUCUCAUGUACACUAAGGUGACGCCUGCCUCUUGUGCCUCUCAUGUACACUAAGGUGACGCCUGCCUCUUGUGCCUCUCAUGUACACUAAAGUGACGCCUGCCUCUAGUGCCUCUCAUGUACACUAAGGUGACGCCUGCCUCUAGUGCCUCUCAUGUACACUAAGGUGACGCCUGCCUCUAGUGCCUCUCAUGUACACUAAGGUGACGCCUGCCUCUAGUGCCUCUCAUGUACACUAAGGUGACGCCUGCCUCUAGUGCCUCUCAUGUACACUAAGGUGACGCCUGCCUCUUGUGCCUCUCAUGUACACUAAGGUGACGCCUGCCUCUAGUGCCUCUCAUGUACACUAAGGUGACGCCUGCCUCUAGUGCCUCUCAUGUACACUAAGGUGACGCCUGCCUCUAGUGCCUCUCAUGUACACUAAGGUGACGCCUGCCUCUUGUGCCUCUCAUGUACACUAAGGUGACGCCUGCCUCUUGUGCCUCUCAUGUACACUAAGGUGACGCCUGCCUCUAGUGCCUCUCAUGUACACUAAGGUGACGCCUGCCUCUAGUGCCUCUCAUGUACACUAAGGUGACGCCUGCCUCUAGUGCCUCUCAUGUACACUAAGGUGACGCCUGCCUCUAGUGCCUCUCUUGUAGUGUUAUCCACAGUUUGGUCAAAAUAAUGGUUUGUGAUGAGGGAUUUGCAAACUUUUAUGUCAUAA
This is a non-coding RNA of Procambarus clarkii (red swamp crayfish), 1521 nucleotides long. The record is from RefSeq and is a predicted model, not a curated record. NCBI's taxonomy places the organism in Eukaryota, Metazoa, Arthropoda, Malacostraca, Decapoda, Cambaridae.